RNAcentral lists this small RNA (177 nucleotides) under Hassallia byssoidea. Its description in RNAcentral is "c-di-AMP sequence". It matches the Rfam family "c-di-AMP riboswitch aptamer (ydaO/yuaA leader)". From Rfam's summary of the family: This family represents a conserved RNA structure found upstream of the ydaO and yuaA genes in Bacillus subtilis and related genes in other bacteria. The ydaO/yuaA element is thought to act as a genetic "off" switch for the ydaO and yuaA genes in its native state. It is believed that the element may be triggered during osmotic shock leading to activation of ydaO, a predicted amino acid transporter gene, and members of the yuaA-yubG operon which code for KtrA and KtrB K+ transporters. Lineage: Bacteria; Bacillati; Cyanobacteriota; Cyanophyceae; Nostocales; Tolypothrichaceae. The record is from RNAcentral.
AAAUUCAUCAAACCUAGAUUUGAAGCGGAGGAACCAUCUUAUGGGGCGUAUCUUUUAGUAAGUUAAUUAAAAGUUAAGAGUUAGUAGUUACUAUUUAACUCAUAACUCAUAACUUAUAGAGAAAGACACCUUCCAGUCUUAGCCCGUCAGCUAACUCCGUCGGCAAUGGAAGGAACC